This is an RNA transcript of Triticum dicoccoides, 1889 nucleotides long. RefSeq lists it as uncharacterized. The record is from RefSeq and is a predicted model, not a curated record. Lineage: Eukaryota; Viridiplantae; Streptophyta; Magnoliopsida; Poales; Poaceae. The transcript is spliced from 3 exons.
AAAACAAAGGGAACCUGUCACACAAUUGUCAAAAAAAAAAAGAAGAAAAAAGAGAACCUCACACUCUCCGACCAUUAGACGUGGCUCUUGCCUGAUCCUUUCAUCUCCUUCUAUCCCCUCGUACCAAAAUUGCUUCCACCCGAGCGCUGCAGAUUCAAUUCUGAAUAAACCUUAGUUUCCCCUCUUGAUUCCUUGCCGUGAUCUUGCUCGUCCUCAACUGCACGCACCUUUGCAGCUCGGCUCACUGGUGCGGCGACGGCGUGACCAUCUACGGCGCCUGGUUUUUCCCCGAUGUAUGCCUCCUCAAUCUCUUAUGCUGGUCAACGGCGGCGGAGGGGUAGCAGGGCUCGACGAGAAGCUGCACAAUGGAGGAGGCGAGCUUGUCGAUCUUGACAGUGCCGUUGUCGUCGCCGUCCUUCGAGGCGACAUGGGUGUGGAUCUCGUCUGCUACAGCGAGCUUGGAUCCACAUCGUAUCGUGGUUGUCCCCGAGCAAGACAGCCCAGCAGGUCGUCUUGCUCCUCGAUAGAGGUAGCCUGAUUUCGGCGGCUCAUUCUUCCACCUGUAGAUCACCCGGUCAACAAUAUCAGGUCUUCAUGAUGCUGCUAUGCCUACUUUCUGUAGCAAAGAUUGAAUGUCACAAAUAGUUGCAGAUGGCAUGUCAUGUCGUGCUAAUCUCACAUUGUGAUAGUUCAAGUCUGGUACUUCAGUUGCAGAUGGUAUGCCAUGUCGUGUUAAUCUCACGUGGAUAGUCACCUUCGAAUUUAUCCCUUACCAUUCUGAGUGUUUUUGCUAGUCUAUCUUUAUCCAAUAUAUUUUUAAGGUCCUCGACAAUGGGAGGAUCUGUUGAUUCCCUUUUAUCUUCUGAUGUUGACGCGUCAACUCUGAUUCUUACCUCAUUUGUAGUGGCAUAGGUGUGCAACUACGCCGUGCGUAGUUUGUCUUUACCUUCAGGUAGUAGAGUACCUAUCUGUGAUAUUUUUGGCCAUUCAUUCCAAAUACAUAAGGCAUGGGACCAUUUUUUCUGUGUCUACCUCUCCUCCCAUUGAUGUGAAAGCGAACAUGGAGUUGUACAAUCUGAUAUUGUGCAUGUAGUUCUUUCUUCCACCUCUUUACGAACUAAAAGCAUUUGAUUGUGUUGUCACACCUUGAAUUGAAGACGUGCAUUAUACUACUGAUUAUGUUAUUGCUGUUAAGAAAUAUUGAAAUCUAAGAAUAAGAUAAGAUUGCAAUUGAGGAUGAGAAGUUGAUGUACAACAAUGACUGAAAAUCCACAAGGGGAACUUAUGAGAAGUUUAAAAAGCCAUUUUACAUGAAUUAAAAGCUUUUGAUUGUGUUGUCAUACCUUGAAUUGAAGACAUUAGUUGUUCUGCCAUUUCUGCUCUUACUUUUAAGAAAAUAUUGAACUUUAUGUCAGUUCUAUAUGAUCUCUGCAGAUGGUCCAGCUGCUGGAGGUGAUCUGCUCACCUGAUGGAAUCGUCGGCACACAAUUGAGAAGAUUGGGGCACUCGCUCGUGAGAGUUCUUUUUUUAGAGCUCUUUUUUAGGAAAACCUGAUGGAGCCGAUGGCACAAUCGAGGAGGAUGGCACAAUCGUGGAGAUUGGGGCACUCGCUCGUGAGAGUUCUUUUUUAGGGAAAGCCAUCAUGGUGAUGUAUAUUGAUUUGGAAUAAUAGUACAUCAUCGGCAAGAACGGCAAGUAAAAAUUUGGAGGGUUGCUUGUGAUGGUAUGAGUCGAACCUAUGGUGAGUUUUGUUUAUGAGAUCGUGAGAUUGAUUGUGUGAUUUGUGUAAAGAACACGGGACAGAUCAAAAAAUGGUCUGUGAGACCCGCGUAUAGGAGAUGGCAAAAAGACAAAACGGCAUGCAUGCAAUUGAUCAUUGUAGGGUUGGA